Molecule: long non-coding RNA, 825 nt
Organism: Nomascus leucogenys (northern white-cheeked gibbon)
Lineage: Eukaryota; Metazoa; Chordata; Mammalia; Primates; Hylobatidae
Exons: 2
Source: RefSeq, a predicted model, not a curated record
CUGAGAUAAGAUCAGCCAAAAAUAGACUCAAUUCCUGACCCUCCUAGUUUUCUGAGACUGCAUCCACUUUGAUAGUUUCUACUGAGUCCAAAUUAGAACAUCCCAGCUGGUGGGCUGUCUCCCAGGAAGCCCUCGGAGAGGAGGGGACACCGGACACACCCCACCACCCCGGGUAGUGUCAGGUAGACUUGUCUAUUUACAUCCUUUCACCCUUUCUGGGGAGACUAUCAGACGAUGUGCUCCCCCAGGUGAAGAAGUAGUCCCAGGAAAAAGGAGACAUGGGAUACAGGGGUCCUGAACCUGGCGGCGGACAAGGGAGCUCCUGGGAGGACAGCUCCUGCCUAGCAAUAGCCAGCAGCUGGUCCAGACUGCGGCCGUGACUCAGAAGAUAGACAUGCAGAGGGUUAUGAUCACAGAGCAACGAUGGUCCUUGUACAUGAAGAUAAAAACGCUCAGGUGUGCCCAGGUCGAAGAAGAUGAAAGGCCCUGCUUCCCAGAGCGCCCGGGGGCACUGAUGAUCUCUGCCAGGUCUGUUUCCACCCACUGCAGCCGUGACAGACUCUUGCUCUGUUGCCCAGGCUAGAAUGCAAUGGCGUGAUCUUGGCUCACCACAACUUCUGCCUCCUGGGUUCAAGUGAUUCUCCUGCCACAUCCAGCUAAUUUUGUAUUUUUAGUAGAGACGAGAUUUCACCAUGUUGGCCAGGCUGGUCUUGAACUCCUGACAUUGUGAUCUACCCACCUCGGCCUCCCAGAGUGCUAGGAUUACAGGCGUGAGCUACCAUGCCCAGCCUACCUGGAGCAUUAUUUAAACCUUAAACCUUUAAA